Molecule: ribosomal RNA, 376 nt
Filed under: uncultured bacterium
Lineage: Bacteria
Description: bacterial SSU rRNA
Rfam family: Bacterial small subunit ribosomal RNA
Source: RNAcentral
AUACGGAGGGUGCAAGCGUUGUUCGGAAUUACUGGGCGUAAAGGGCGCGUAGGUGGUUGCGUAAGUCAGAUGUGAAAUCCCGAGGCUCAACUUCGGAACUGCAUCUGAUACUGCAUGACUUGAGUGCAGCAGAGGGAAACGGAAUUCCUGGUGUAGAGGUGAAAUUCGUAGAUAUCAGGAGGAACACCGGUGGCGAAGGCGGUUUCCUGGGCUGACACUGACACUGAGGCGCGAAAGCGUGGGUAGCAAACAGGAUUAGAUACCCUGGUAGUCCACGCUGUAAACGGUGAGUACUGGGUGUGGGAGGUGUAAUGCCUUCUGUGCCGAAGCUAACGCGUUAAGUACUCCGCCUGGGGAGUACGGCCGCAAGGUUGAA